AUGAACGCUGGCGGCGUGCCUAAUACAUGCAAGUCGAGCGAACAGACGAGGAGCUUGCUCCUCUGACGUUAGCGGCGGACGGGUGAGUAACACGUGGAUAACCUACCUAUAAGACUGGGAUAACUUCGGGAAACCGGAGCUAAUACCGGAUAAUAUAUUGAACCGCAUGGUUCAAUAGUGAAAGACGGUUUUGCUGUCACUUAUAGAUGGAUCCGCGCCGCAUUAGCUAGUUGGUAAGGUAACGGCUUACCAAGGCGACGAUGCGUAGCCGACCUGAGAGGGUGAUCGGCCACACUGGAACUGAGACACGGUCCAGACUCCUACGGGAGGCAGCAGUAGGGAAUCUUCCGCAAUGGGCGAAAGCCUGACGGAGCAACGCCGCGUGAGUGAUGAAGGUCUUCGGAUUGUAAAACUCUGUUAUUAGGGAAGAACAAAUGUGUAAGUAACUAUGCACGUCUUGACGGUACCUAAUCAGAAAGCCACGGCUAACUACGUG
Molecule: ribosomal RNA, 496 nt
Filed under: uncultured bacterium
Lineage: Bacteria
Description: partial 16S ribosomal RNA
Rfam family: Bacterial small subunit ribosomal RNA
Source: RNAcentral